This 242-nucleotide ribosomal RNA is filed under the name uncultured bacterium. Its description in RNAcentral is "partial 16S ribosomal RNA". It matches the Rfam family "Bacterial small subunit ribosomal RNA", at positions 15 to 253 of the family's 1533-position model. The record is from RNAcentral.
GAUCCUGGCUCAGGAUGAACGCUAGCGACAGGCUUAACACAUGCAAGUCGAGGGGUAGCAUGAGGUAGCAAUACCUUGAUGGCGACCGGCGCACGGGUGAGUAACGCGUAUGCAACCUGCCCGAUACCGGGGUAUAGCCCAUGGAAACGUGGAUUAACACCCCAUAGUACUUUUAUCCUGCAUGGGAUGUGAGUUAAAUGUUCAAGGUAUCGGAUGGGCAUGCGUCCUAUUAGUUAGUUGGG